Molecule: non-coding RNA, 6145 nt
Organism: Rattus norvegicus (Norway rat)
Lineage: Eukaryota; Metazoa; Chordata; Mammalia; Rodentia; Muridae
Source: RefSeq, a predicted model, not a curated record
GGAGUCUCACUGGGCAAAAUCAAGUUGAGCCACAAAAGAGCUGGAAACACAUCAACAAGACUCUGUGUGUGUGUGUGUGUGUGUGUGUGUGUGUGUGUGUGUGUGUGUGUGUGUUUGUCUUUGCAGUGACUCCACAGUUCUCUAGAAAAGGAGCUGUUGUACGGGUUAUAUAGAUCAACGUUGAUAUAGAUAGAAAGUUUGUGGAUUAGCAUUGUCCAAUCAUGUCUAUCCUUAUCUUACCAAGCUUUCUAUUCCUUAUUCCCAACUUUCUGAACAUUUUUAGCCACUGACUUAAUGGAUGGUUCUAAGCACGGAUCCACAAGCACAUCAUGUAGCAGUAACAAUGGAAAAGGAGAUCUGACCCCACCUCACAGCCUUUCCUGACCCUACUUCCUGGUCUAAUGCCUGAAACAUAAUAGUAAUUAGCUUCCCAUGUCCAACUGAUUGUCUGUGGUGCUUGUAAAAACAAGACUAUCUAAGCAAGAAAUAUCUGUUUGACCAGCUUUUCCAAAGGGAUGUGUUUACCACAAACAAACAACCUCCCAUGAAGGGCUGGCCUCUCAGACACCUGUUGGGCUAAACCAGUUUGAGUACACCAAAGAGAGAUCAUAUUUUUAUUCUCUGUCCAAGAAGAGGUCAUACCAGCAGAUCAUAUGCAUGUAACAACAAAAAGGCUUUCUUGGGACCACUGCACAUGCGUGCAGUGACUUUGUGCAAAUUAGGCAAGGCAUCCUCAAUUCUGAGAAGAUGAAGCCCCACGGCAGGGAGCACAGCUUAGAAAAGAGAGCACAGGCUGAAGUUCACCUCGGUGAACUGCUUCUGUAGAUGUCCUUGUCCAGUGAAGAAACUGGCCAACUUCACAUCAGGUCUUUCGUCCUGUGGUACUGCCUGCCCUGGUUUGAGAGGCUGCUCUGAACUCCUCCAUGUUUCUUGAGUAACUCUGGAAUCUUCUGCCCAAGGUAGCUGUCCUUUCUUUGGGCUUUACUUCAUCUUUUGCUCCAAUGUCAAAAUUAUUUAAUUCCUAGGUGUCUGGUUUAAAGAAUCUUUGUGUCUGAUCCCUGAUCCGCUACAUUUAAUUCUUUUGUUAGCACCUGGAAGGGAGAGGGGCAGAUGUGAGCUACAGCUGGGUCCUGCUGUGUCCCAGACUCCCACCUUUCUGGCCUCACUGGAAACUAAAAGCCAUACUUUUAUGUGCCCAACUUUGAUGGUGCCCCAUUAAUGACUGAUUAGUGGUUACAUUGUCUAUCCCUCCAAGUCACUUGUCAGCUAACAAGACCACUGGCCUGUCUUCCAAAAAGGAUUUUUUUUCAAAUUUUUAUUUUUAUUUUAAAGAUUUAUUUCUUUUAUGUAUGGUAAUAUACAGUUGCUCUCUUUAAUUGGAUCCUAUUACAGGUGGCUGUGAGCCACCUGUCACAGCAAUAGAAAAGAAACUAUGACAUUGGGAGGGAAAAAAGUGGCUGCUUGGGGAGGCAGAUGGUUUCAUUUGGGAUGAUAAAUAUCAUGUGAGUGGGCACAGUGACUGUGGCUCAGAGGCCAGCAGGCACCUUGACCAAGACACAGAUCCAGGCACAUGGAAUACUCUGUAUGAGAACCUGGUGUGAUGACCAAGUUGAGGUCAGUGGCACUGGCCAGCCGGUGUGACAGCUUGGAACAGUGUGCUCGUAAUCCCAGCUUGCGGGGUUGGGGAUUUAGCUCAGUGGUAGAGUGCUUGCCUAGGAAGCACAAGGCCCUGGGUUCGGUCCCCAGCUCCAAAAAAAAGAAAAAGGAAAAAAAAAAUCCCAGCUUGCACUUGUUCAACUUAAAUCCUUUUGAUGUUAUAAGAGCAAGGCACACUGGGUAGAAACCAUCUUGAACUUUUGCAUUUGCUAGCAGUGUGCCGUGAUGUGUUGCUAGCAGUGGAAAGUGGCCUCUAGCUACAUCUUCCAACUGUAUUACCGUGCAGGAAACCAAUGAGAUGGUUCAGUCAGUGUACUGUGGAUGACCAGGGCGCACGGCAGGCCAAGCACAUACAAUGAACUUAAGGGGUUUAUCCACAUGUAACCCCUUGAUAAGCCAAGGAACUACUAUAAGUGCAAAGACUUUCAGAUAAACAUGAGAGAGAAGAAAGCCUUGACUCUGUUACCAAGGUUUGGUCUUCUUGACUUUUUCAAGAUAGUGGGUUUCUUUGCUGUCACCGUUUUUCUUUGUCUUCUGUGAAAGAAGUGACAGAAUUAAGACACCAGUUUCCGAAGGUCCCCAGAACUCCAAUUCAGCUUCCAACGCCCAAGCAAAAUCAGGGUGUCAUUAUCUCUAAAUCCAGGUCUCAGAUUCAGGCCUCCAGUCUCCUGGGGUGUUUUGUGCGCUAAAAUUAGACUCACAGAACAUAACGAACGAGCUAUGAAAGUUCCACCGCACGAACAGUCCUUUAAAGUGUGCACUUGGUUUGACACCUGUCUGGUGACUGCAGACCCUGCAGGUUCACUGUGAUGUAUGUCACCAUAAGCCAAGAAUAAACGCACAGCCAGUGCUAACUAAAGGGAUAGACCAUCACAAGAUUCAAGUGCUUUCUGUAUCAUUGAAGCAUUAGUACUAAGGUUCUGUGUUAUUCAGGGUUCACAGCCUCACAGAUCAUCUCACUAAAGCUUGAUGCUUUCUCUCUCCACCGCCAAGCUGCUCUGCUCACAACACUUCUGAUAUCAAAAUGUAGGUGUUUCCUAUCAAUUGUCAAUGAGGGACUUCUGAUGCUUACCACCAGGGGUUAACAGCAGUGCCGGAGGAUUGACCAUGCAGUCUGUAAGACUGCCCCAUUUUGUAGACAAAUGCAAGUCCUUAGUUUGCUGAACUUCUGACUUAACACUUGUUAACCAGGGAUUCCUACAGCCCACACCCUGGCUUGACAAGUUGCUAGGAUGGCUCUCUCACAACUGGAACCCAGUUUCAGUUACUGUUACCAGCUCAUUAUAAAGAAAGAAGGAACACAAAUGAAGUUCAGAGGGCAGGGUCCCAAACUACCCUAAACCGAAGCUUCUAUCCUACUGAGGAGUGCACCCUUCAUCUUGGUACAAAAUGAUGUUCACCAAUCAUAAACCUCCCUGUAACUCUUCAUUUAGAGAUUCUUAUUGAGGCUCCAGAUGGUGGGCAUGUGUGAGGAAACCAUAGAUUAUUGUCAGAUAGCCCAGUCUCUACCAUCUGUUGUCUCUAGAGGUUUAAGUGUAGCACUCAGGUUCCUCCACUCUAUUCACAUGGUGGUUCCUCUGGCUACCAACCCCUACCCCAGGACUAUCUAGGGGCCUGUGAAGUCACUUCAGAAAGAUGAAAAGGUUCCCUAUGCAUACAGAGCUAUACCGCUCUUACUUUUGGGGUUUGUGAACUUCCAAGAGAUCUUGAUGUCCUAUGCUGGAGCUGAGGAGACAGAGCAGAGACUUCUCACCCUAUCAUCACACCACACUGGCCCACAUGCACCCCCAUUUCUGCAUAUCCCUCUCUAAGCCAGAUAUUGCGCUGCACAGAGCAAAUCUGCCUCCCAAAAUGGCUUUGGGGGUUUCAUUCCAGGUUAACUAGAUGUGGUCCUGAAGGCCUUUCUCUUUCUCAAGGAAGAUGGGAUGCACUUGAAGCCAGAACCCCACAGCCUCAGAGGGUCUUUCCCAAAGCCAGCCUCCCACUGACCCUCAAGCUCUCCAGGAGUGGGCAGCUGGCUUUCCUAUGCAACUAACGCAAUCACUGGCAUCUGUCCCACUCUUCUCCCACAACAGUGGUGUCCAGUUAAAAAGGCAAUGAUGGUGAAUUGGGUGGGAAUGCUCCUUGUCUAGAAAAGCCCAUCCCAGUGGUCUGACGAAGCAUCCUGAUUCAGCACACCCCUGUCUGCGUGGUUGAGAGGAGUGUCAGGACCCAGCAAUUUAAAAAUUCCAACAAGGAGAAGGGAGGGGCUCAUGAGGACCGGCCCCUUGCUGAAGGAUUGAUGGAUGGGCAGGGCUUUCUCCCCAGGCUCCUUGCUUAUUAACCCAGUGCUAAAAGAGCCCCUCUUUAACGUCACUGUUCUUGUCAACAUUGAGAGCUGCUUUGUCACAUUGGUUAUGUCCACAACUUGACUCCCGAGUCUGGCUUUGCCAAGCCUUUUGUUCUGCUUUUUACAUUUUUGUACUGCAAAAUGGGUGUGAGUCUCUGUGGGCCUGGAGCAGAAUGUUAGUUACUGCUUGACCUUAAGGUGUCUGGUUGACCCACUGGUUUUGGACACUCAGUUCCGAAAGUUAGGUACUAAUUUUAAAAGGUCGUGGAGCACUCAGGUCGUGUGAAUCUGCCCAGUGGAAAUCACCAUGGUUCCUCUUUGAAAGCCGUAGCCCGGGCCUGAUACCAGUCCAGCUUUCAGUUUAUUGAUCUGUCAAAGAAUGAGGAGCCUCCACCACCCACCCCUGCCACCAUAGCUUCCAUCAAGGCCACCCUGCAGAGUGAAAAUGAGGACAUGGCUGCUCCUGUACAGUGAUAACCAUUGAAUCGCAUAACCUACUGAAGAGAAGACUCCAGAGAAACAGGUAUUCCCAUGAACUCAUAAGUUACUUGUUAAUUUCAAAGGCAACAUGGCCUUUACAUUAAGGAAAUCUGCCAGGACCCGCCGUGUUCACAUCCUGUCAUGUUGGCACCAGCUCCAGUGGAAUAAUCUAACUCUUAAGUUCCUGAUCUGAAGAUGCCAGGGAAGAGCACCUCAGGACAAAAUAUCCUGGAAAGGUUUCACCUAUAUCACACUCUGAUGUAACAGACAAGAACGUGCUAGUUGGGUGUUUUGUUUUUUUGUUUUGUUUUUUUGUUUGUUUGUUUUUUUGGUUUUUUUUUUUUUUUUUUUUUGGCUAACUUGACACAAAGUAAAGACACCUGGGAAGAGGGAAUUUCAGUGAAGAACUACUUCCAUGAAGCUGGCCUGUGUCCAUGUCUGGAGGCAUUUUCCUUCUUGCUCGUUGAUGGAAGAGGGCCCAGCCCACUCCUGGGCAGUGCCAUCCUGAGUAGGUUGGCUGGGCUGUAUAGCAAAGGCAUCUGAACAUGAACCUAGGAGAAAGGCAGUGAGUAGCAUUUCUUCAGAGUACCCACUGCAUUUAUUGUCUCCAGGUCUCUGCUUGAGCUCCUGCCCGACUCCCCACAAUGACACAACAGGACUUGGAAGUAUAAGCUAAUGGGAGACAUUUUGCUCCCCCAAGGAGUUUUGUUCUGUGUUUCAUCAUAGCACCAGAAAGCAAACCAGGAUGCACAAAAGUCCAGGGAGUGGGCAUUUUGCAGUUCCCCAAAACAGUGCCUCACAGGUGACAGCAUUUUUUCCUUCUUGUGAACUGUUGCUUAACUUAAGAUCAUUGUGACACCACUUAGGGUGACACUGGCAUUUCUGGCAACAGAAAGAGAUGAAAUGUUUACCUUCUCCAAGAACCAAAGUUCCGUACUCAAAUUCCUCAAGCUUCAUCUGUGCCUAAGAUCCUGGAAGGGAAGUAACAUAGAGAUGACUAAAUAUCCUGCCAUCGAUGGAUAUAGAAUAAACGUGGGAAGAUGGACUCAACGGCUAAUAGCAGCUAAGGGAAGGAUAGGAGGAGGGAUUCUACUGGUAGAUACAAGGGCCAUCAGCAAACCUUGUCUAAAUACAGAGGAGCACACUACCUUCAAUAAAUCACAUGGGGUUGGUGAAAAGACCUUUGCUAUUUCCAAAAUUAUUACCAAGCAUUUGCAACAAAGACCACUCUGAGCCAGGGUUUAAAGAGUGUGGUAGCUGUUCUUGGUUGUCAACCUGACUGACCGUUUCCAGAAUUAACUGAAAGCCAAGCAGCUGGAUACACCAGAGAGAGAAACAUUUUUCUUAAUUAAAUAACUUUAAGUUGGAAGCCCAAGUUUUAAUCUGGAUCUUUUGAGGUGGAAAUCCACCUUUAAUGUGAGCCACAUUUUCUGAAGGACACAGAAGAAGGAAGCGUGCUCUUUGCCUGCUUGCUCUCCCUCUGUCUAGCAAGUCCAUUCCUUCUCUGGUUGUGAAAGCUACUUCUUCAGGAUUCUGGCGUAUACUGAAGACCAGCUGAUGCCUGGCCUUGUGGACUAAACAACUACUAGAUUCUCAGAACUUCCAUUGGUUGAUAGCCAUUAUUGAACGAGUUGAACCACAAUAUGUAAGUCAUUCUAAUAAAUCCCAUAUAUACAUAUA